CAAAGGUUUGGUCCCAGCCUUGAAGUCAAUUAUUACUUAAUAUACACAUGCUAGUUUCCGCACCCCUGUGAAAACGCCCUCAAUUCUUCCCCUAAAGAUAAGGAGCUGGUAUCAGGCACAAAAUAUGCCCAAAACACCUAGCUACGCCACACCCUCAAGGGAAUUCAGCAGUGAUAAACAUUGAACAUAAACGACAGUUUGAUUCAGUUAAAGUAAAUAGAGCCGGCAAAUCUGGUGCCAGCCGCCGCGGUUACACCACGUGACUCAAAUUGAUAUUCCAUCGGCGUAAAGCGUGAUUAAAGCCACCCACAUAAUUCGGAUUAAGCCCCCACUAAGCCGUGACACGCUUGUGUACAGAAAAAUCAAAAACGAAAGUUAUCCUAAUUUUUAACUUGAAUUCACGACAGCUAGGAAACAAACUGGGAUUAGAUACCCCACUAUGCCUAGCCGUAAACUUUUAAUUACCCCCCCCAUCGCCCGGGAACUACGAGCCANNNNNNNNNNNNNNNNNNNNNNNNNNNNNNNNNNNNNNNNNNNNAGGAGCCUGUCCUAUAAUCGAUAACCCCCGCUUAACCCCACCAUUUUUAGUUAAUCAGCCUGUAUACCUCCGUCGUCAGCUUACCACGUGAGCGACAUAAAGUGAGCUUAAUGUCCACUCGCCAUUACGUCAGGUCAAGGUGCAGCAAAUAAAAUGGAAAGAGAUGUGCUACACUUUCUAACAUAGAAAACACGAAAGAUUACCUAUGAAACCUAGUCAGAAGGCGGAUUUAGUAGUAAAAAAAGAUCAGAAAACUCUUUUUAACUUGGCACUGGGGUGUGUACACACCGCCCGUCACCCUCUUCAAAGCUUAUAAAUAGUUAUUAACCAAUCGCUGCUACACAGAAGAGGCAAGUCGUAACAUGGUAAGUAUACCGGAAGGUGUGCUUGGAAA
RNAcentral lists this non-coding RNA (932 nucleotides) under Paratelmatobius cf. segallai MTS-2020. Lineage: Eukaryota; Metazoa; Chordata; Amphibia; Anura; Leptodactylidae. The record is from RNAcentral.